GACGAACGCUGGCGGCGUGCUUAACACAUGCAAGUCGAACGGUAAGGCCCUUCGGGGUACACGAGUGGCGAACGGGUGAGUAACACGUGGGUGAUCUGCCAUGCACUUCGGGAUAAGCCUGGGAAACUGGGUCUAAUACCGGAUAGGACCACUGCCUGCAUGGGUGGUGGUGGAAAGCUUUUGCGGUGUGGGAUGGGCCCGCGGCCUAUCAGCUUGUUGGUGGGGUGAUGGCCUACCAAGGCGACGACGGGUAGCCGGCCUGAGAGGGUGACCGGCCACACUGGGACUGAGAUACGGCCCAGACUCCUACGGGAGGCAGCAGUGGGGAAUAUUGCUCAAUGGGCGCAAGCCUGAUGCAGCGAUGCCGCGUGAGGGAUGACGGCCUUCGGGUUGUAAACCUCUUUCAGCACCGACGAAGCGCAAGUGACGGUAGGUGCAGAAGAAGGACCGGCCAACUACGUGCCAGCCGCCGCCGUAA
This 478-nucleotide ribosomal RNA is filed under the name uncultured bacterium. RNAcentral's name for it is "partial 16S ribosomal RNA". It matches the Rfam family "Bacterial small subunit ribosomal RNA", at positions 28 to 523 of the family's 1533-position model. The record is from RNAcentral.